GCUUACGGCCACACCACCCUGAACGCGCCCGAUCUCGUCCGAUCUCGGAAGCUAAGCAGGUUGGGCCUGGUUAGUACUUGGAUGGGAGACCGCCUGGGAAUACCAGGUGCUGUAAGCU
This 118-nucleotide ribosomal RNA is filed under the name Echeneis naucrates (live sharksucker). The record is from RNAcentral. Lineage: Eukaryota; Metazoa; Chordata; Actinopteri; Carangiformes; Echeneidae.